RNAcentral lists this long non-coding RNA (759 nucleotides) under Citrus x clementina. Its description in RNAcentral is "Citrus clementina (C. clementina) long non-coding RNA (CCLE_LNC005213)". The record is from RNAcentral. Lineage: Eukaryota; Viridiplantae; Streptophyta; Magnoliopsida; Sapindales; Rutaceae.
AAUUCAAAUAGUAAAAUUCUUAAUUAAAAAAGUGGUGAGUUUAAAGGGGGAGUUGCAAAGGGGGCAAAGACUGCGAUAAGUCUAUGAAAAGGACAAGUCCAUCACGUGUAACACGCAUCACUAUAUUGACAGUCUUACUGUUUUCACACGUUCACGUGUAACACGACACGUGGCCCACGUUCAUUGAAACAAAUAAUUUUGGUACACCAGAGGAAAUUAUUUUGUAAAAGUCCGCAUUUAUUGUUGCAUUGUUGUCUUUGUAAAAGUCCGCAUUUAUUGUUGCAUUGUUGUCUUUGAACUUUUGUCCAUUCUGCAAUAGUAUUUCGUACAUAGAAAGUUAAUCUAGCCAAGGACAUGUCUGAAGUUGAAUGAAAGUUAAUCUACUUUUUUCCAUUCUGCAAUAAUAACAUGUGCCGUGGCCUUGGACCUACGCCAUGGUUAGCAACACAAGCCCUCCAUUUCGUCGGAGAUGGGGUACAAGUUGAAUUCUCCUCAGUUAAUCUCUUCCUACUCAGUAGUAUUUGGAUAGAGCUACAUACAAAUAUUUCCAUGGACGGACCCAAUGAAGGCCCAAGAGGGGCUUCAGCCCUCCCUGGGCCGUUAAAUUUUCUUUUAAAUGUACCCCAAGUCCCUUCUGAAAAAGUUAGAUAAAUAAAUUUGGACACAUUUUUUAUAUAUCAAAAGACUUGUAGUUUAAUGGUAAGAGUGUUAUUUAAUGGUUUUAAAACCUUGGUUCAAAUCCCAUUAGCCACAUUAUUU